UGCGAAUGGCUCAUUAUAUAAGUUAUCGUUUAUUUGAUAGUACCUUACUACUUGGAUAACCGUGGUAAUUCUAGAGCUAAUACAUGCUAAAAAUCCCGACUUCGGAAGGGAUGUAUUUAUUAGAUUAAAAACCAAUGCCCUCUGGGCUCCUUGGUGAUUCAUAAUAACUUUUCGAAUCGCAUGGCCUUGCGCCGGCGAUGGUUCAUUCAAAUUUCUUCCCUAUCAACUUUCGAUGUUUGGGUAUUGGCCAAACAUGGUCGCAACGGGUAACGGAGGGUUAGGGCUCGACCCCGGAGAAGGAGCCUGAGAAACGGCUACUACAUCCAAGGAAGGCAGCAGGCGCGCAAAUUACCCAAUCCCGAUUCGGGGAGGUAGUGACAAUAAAUACUGAUACAGGGCUCUUUUGGGUCUUGUAAUUGGAAUGAGUACAAUUUAAAUCCCUUAACGAGGAACAAUUGGAGGGCAAGUCUGGUGCCAGCAGCCGCGGUAAUUCCAGCUCCAAUAGCGUAUAUUAAAGUUGUUGUGGUUAAAAAGCUCGUAGUUGAACCUUGGGCCUGGCUGGCCGGUCCGCCUCACCGCGUGUACUGGUCCGGCCGGGCCUUUCCCUCUGUGGAACCUCAUGCCCUUCACUGGGUGUGGCGGGGAAACAGGACUUUUACUUUGAAAAAAUUAGAGUGCUCCAGGCAGGCCUAUGCUCGAAUACAUUAGCAUGGAAUAAUGAAAUAGGACGUGUGGUUCUAUUUUGUUGGUUUCUAGGACCGCCGUAAUGAUUAAUAGGGACAGUCGGGGGCAUCAGUAUUCAAUUGUCAGAGGUGAAAUUCUUGGAUUUAUUGAAGACUAACUACUGCGAAAGCAUUUGCCAAGGAUGUUUUCAUUAAUCAGGAACGAAAGUUAGGGGAUCGAAGACGAUCAGAUACCGUCGUAGUCUUAACCAUAAACUAUGCCGACUAGGGAUCGGACGAUGUUAUUUUUUGACGCGUUCGGCACCUUACGAGAAAUCAAAGUGCUUGGGC
This 1013-nucleotide ribosomal RNA is filed under the name Samsoniella hepiali. RNAcentral describes it as "SSU rRNA". It matches the Rfam family "Eukaryotic small subunit ribosomal RNA", at positions 88 to 1112 of the family's 1831-position model. Lineage: Eukaryota; Fungi; Ascomycota; Sordariomycetes; Hypocreales; Cordycipitaceae. The record is from RNAcentral.